CAGUUGUGCUGGCGACCAUAGCAAGAGUGAACCACCUGAUCCCUUCCCGAACUCAGAAGUGAAACCUCUUAGCGCUGAUGGUAGUGUGGGGUUACCCAUGUGAGAGUAAGUCAUCGCCAGCUCAUUAUUC
RNAcentral lists this ribosomal RNA (130 nucleotides) under Acinetobacter pittii PHEA-2. Lineage: Bacteria; Pseudomonadati; Pseudomonadota; Gammaproteobacteria; Moraxellales; Moraxellaceae. The record is from RNAcentral.